GAUGAACGCUGGCGGCGUGCCUAAUACAUGCAAGUCGAGCGAACAGACGAGGAGCUUGCUCCUCUGACGUUAGCGGCGGACGGGUGAGUAACACGUGGAUAACCUACUUAUAAGACUGGGAUAACUUCGGGAAACCGGAGCUAAUACCGGAUAAUAUAUUGAACCGCAUGGUUCAAUAGUGAAAGACGGCUUUGCUGUCACUUAUAGAUGGAUCCGCGCCGCAUUAGCAAGUGGUAAGGUAACGGCUUACCAAGGCAACGAUGCGUAGCCGACCUGAGAGGAUGAUCGGCCACACUGGAACUGAGACACGGUCCAGACUCCUACGGGAGGCAGCAGUAGGGAACCUUCCGCAAUGGGCGAAAGCCUGACGGAGCAACGCCGCGUGAGUGAUGAAGGUCUUCGGAUCGUAAAACUCUGUUAUUGGGGAAGAACAGAUGUGUAAGUAACUAUGCACGUCUUGACGGUACCUAAUCAGAAAGCCACGGCUAACUACGUG
RNAcentral lists this ribosomal RNA (496 nucleotides) under uncultured bacterium. Its description in RNAcentral is "partial 16S ribosomal RNA". It matches the Rfam family "Bacterial small subunit ribosomal RNA", at positions 28 to 507 of the family's 1533-position model. The record is from RNAcentral.